Molecule: ribosomal RNA, 254 nt
Filed under: uncultured bacterium
Lineage: Bacteria
Description: partial 16S ribosomal RNA
Rfam family: Bacterial small subunit ribosomal RNA
Source: RNAcentral
CACGUAGGGGGCGAGCGUUGUCCGGAUUUAUUGGGCGUAAAGAGCUCGUAGGCGGCUCAGUAAGUCGGGUGUGAAAACUCCAGGCUCAACCUGGAGACGCCACCUGAUACUGCUGUGGCUAGAGUCCGGUAGGGGAGCAUGGAAUUCCUGGUGUAGCGGUGAAAUGCGUUGAUAUCGGAAGGAACGCCGGUGGCGAAAGCGGCGUACUGGACCUCUUCUGACGCUGAGGCGCGAAAGCGAGGGGAGCAAACGGG